AUUGAACGCUGGCGGCAUGCCUAACACAUGCAAGUCGAACUAUUGGCUGACUGGUGAGUAAUGUCUGGGAAACUGCCCCAUGGAGGGGGAUAUCUACUGGAAAAGGUCGCUAAUCCCGCAUACCAUCCGAUGUCCCCAGAUGGGCUUAUCUAGUUGGGGGGGUAACGGCUCACCUAGGCGACGCUCCCUCGCUGGUCUGAGAGGAAGACCAGCCACACUGGAACUGAGACACGGUCCAGACUCCUACGGGAGGUAGGAGUGGGGAAUAUUGCACAAUGUGCUGAAGCCAGAUGCAACCAUGCCGCGUGUAUGAAGCAGGCCUUCGCGUCGUCACGUACUUUCGGCAGGGAGGCGUUACCCGCAGCAGUAGCACCGGCUAACUCCGUGCCAGCAGCCGCGGUAAUAC
Molecule: ribosomal RNA, 406 nt
Filed under: uncultured bacterium
Lineage: Bacteria
Description: partial 16S ribosomal RNA
Rfam family: Bacterial small subunit ribosomal RNA
Source: RNAcentral